AUUGAACGCUGGCGGCAUGCCUUACACAUGCAAGUCGAACGGCAGCACGGGAGCAAUCCUGGUGGCGAGUGGCGAACGGGUGAGUAAUAUAUCGGAACGUGCCCGGUCGUGGGGAUAACGUAGCGAAAGCUACGCUAAUACCGCAUACGAUCUACGGAUGAAAGCGGGGGAUCGCAAGACCUCGCGCGAUUGGAGCGGCCGAUAUCAGAUUAGGUAGUUGGUGAGGUAAGGGCUCACCAAGCCGACGAUCUGUAGCUGGUCUGAGAGGACGACCAGCCACACUGGGACUGAGACACGGCCCAGACUCCUACGGGAGGCAGCAGUGGGGAAUUUUGGACAAUGGGCGCAAGCCUGAUCCAGCAAUGCCGCGUGCAGGAUGAA
RNAcentral lists this ribosomal RNA (381 nucleotides) under uncultured bacterium. RNAcentral describes it as "bacterial SSU rRNA". It matches the Rfam family "Bacterial small subunit ribosomal RNA", at positions 30 to 412 of the family's 1533-position model. The record is from RNAcentral.